This 503-nucleotide ribosomal RNA is filed under the name uncultured bacterium. RNAcentral describes it as "partial 16S ribosomal RNA". It matches the Rfam family "Bacterial small subunit ribosomal RNA", at positions 30 to 523 of the family's 1533-position model. The record is from RNAcentral.
AUUGAACGCUGGCGGCAGGCUUAACACAUGCAAGUCGAGCGGGGUGAUGGUGCUUGCACUAUCACUUAGCGGCGGACGGGUGAGUAAUGCUUAGGAAUCUGCCUAUUAGUGGGGGACAACAUCUCGAAAGGGAUGCUAAUACCGCAUACGUCCUACGGGAGAAAGCAGGGGAUCACUUGUGACCUUGCGCUAAUAGAUGAGCCUAAGUCGGAUUAGCUAGUUGGUGGGGUAAAGGCCUACCAAGGCGACGAUCUGUAGCGGGUCUGAGAGGAUGAUCCGCCACACUGAGACUGGGACACGGCCCAGACUCCUACGGGAGGUAGCAGUGGGGAAUAUUGUGCAAUGGGGGGAGCCCUGAUCCAGCCAUGCCGCGUGUGUGAAGAAGGCCUUAUGGUUGUAAACCACUUUAAGCGAGGAGGAGGCUCGUUUGGUUAAUACCCAAGAUGAGUGGACGUUACUCGCAGAAUAAGCACCGGCUAACUCUGUGCCAGCCGCCGCCGUAA